CGCAACCUUUUUUUUCGAUAUGAACUCUAAAAAAAAAUAACGCUGUUAUCCCUAAGGUAAUUUAAUCUUAUAAUCAUAAAUAAUGGAUCAUUUACUCAUAUAUCAAUGUUUUAAUAUAAAAAAAGUUAAUUUAAUUUUUUAGUUGCCCCAACUAAAUAUUUAUAUAAAUACCUAAAUCUUAAAUACUUAAACUUUCAAAUAUUUAUAUAAAUAUAAAAUUCUAUAGGGUCUUCUCGUCUUUUAAUAUUAUUUAAGCUUUUUUACUUAAAAAUAAAAUUCUAAUUUAAAUUAAAUUGAGACAGUCUUUCCCUCGUCAAACCUUUCAUACCAGUUCUCAAUUAAAAAACUAAUUAUUAUGCUACCUUUGCACGGUCAAAGUACCGCGGCCAUUUAAAAAUGAUAUUCAUAGGGCAGGUCAGACUUUAUAUUAUAAUCAAAAAGACAU
This 445-nucleotide ribosomal RNA is filed under the name Drepanopodus proximus. RNAcentral describes it as "partial 16S ribosomal RNA". The record is from RNAcentral. Lineage: Eukaryota; Metazoa; Arthropoda; Insecta; Coleoptera; Scarabaeidae.